CGCGGCCUAUCAGCUUGUUGGUGGGGUAAUGGCCUACCAAGGCGUCGACGGGUAGCCGGCCUGAGAGGGUGGACGGCCACAUUGGGACUGAGAUACGGCCCAGACUCCUACGGGAGGCAGCAGUGGGGAAUAUUGCACAAUGGGCGCGAGCCUGAUGCAGCGACGCCGCGUGGGGGAUGACGGCCUUCGGGUUGUAAACUCCUUUCAGCCAUGACGAAGCCCUUUUGGGGUGACGGUAGUGGUAGAAGAAGCACCGGCUAACUACGUGCCAGCAGCCGCGGUAAUACGUAGGGUGCGAGCGUUGUCCGGAAUUACUGGGCGUAAAGAGCUCGUAGGUGGUCUGUCGCGUCAUUUGUGAAAGCCCGGGGCUUAACUCCGGGUUGGCAGGUGAUACGGGCAUGACUGGAGUACUGUAGGGGAGACUGGAAUUCCUGGUGUAGCGGUGAAAUGCGCAGAUAUCAGGAGGAACACCGGUGGCGAAGGCGGGUCUCUGGGCAGUAACUGACGCUGAGGAGCGAAAGCAUGGGUAGCGAACAGGAUUAGAUACCCUGGUAGUCCAUGCCGUAAACGGUGGGCGCUAGGUGUGGGUUUCCUUCCACGGGAUCCGUGCCGUAGCUAACGCAUUAAGCGCCCCGCCUGGGGAGUACGG
This 649-nucleotide ribosomal RNA is filed under the name uncultured bacterium. Its description in RNAcentral is "bacterial SSU rRNA". It matches the Rfam family "Bacterial small subunit ribosomal RNA", at positions 232 to 885 of the family's 1533-position model. The record is from RNAcentral.